Molecule: ribosomal RNA, 301 nt
Filed under: uncultured bacterium
Lineage: Bacteria
Description: partial 16S ribosomal RNA
Rfam family: Bacterial small subunit ribosomal RNA
Source: RNAcentral
CAGUAGCCGCGGGAAUACGUAGGCAGCAAGCGUUGUUCGGAAUUACUGGGCGUAAAGAGUGUGUAGGCGGUGCUCUAAGUUCGGUGUGAAAUCUCCCGGCUCAACUGGGAGGGUGCGCCGGAAACUGGAGUGCUCGAGCGUGGGAGAGGAAAGCGGAAUUCCUGGUGUAGCGGUGAAAUGCGUAGAUAUCAGGAGGAACGCCUGUGGUGUAGACGGCUUUCUGGACCAUUGCUGACGCUGAGACACGAAAGCGUGGGUAGCAAACAGGAUUAGAUACCCCCGUAGUCCCUGUCUCUUAUAC